This 389-nucleotide ribosomal RNA is filed under the name uncultured bacterium. RNAcentral's name for it is "bacterial SSU rRNA". It matches the Rfam family "Bacterial small subunit ribosomal RNA", at positions 28 to 426 of the family's 1533-position model. The record is from RNAcentral.
GACGAACGCUGGCGGCGUGCUUAACACAUGCAAGUCACGGGGGUUGGAGCAAUCCAGCAACCGGCGAACGGGUGCGUAACACGUGAGCGACCUGCCCAGUUGUGGGGGAUAGCCGGCCCAACGGCCGGGUAAUACCGCAUACGCGUCUUUGGGGGCAUCCCUGGGGACGGAAACCUACGGGGCGAUUGGAGGGGCUCGCGGCCUACCAGCUAGUUGGCGAGGUAACGGCUCACCAAGGCGAUGACGGGUAGCUGGUCUGAGAGGAUGGCCAGCCACAUUGGGACUGAGAGACGGCCCAGGCUCCUACGGGAGGCAGCAGUGGGGAAUCUUGCGCAAUGGCCGAAAGGCUGACGCAGCGACGCCGCGUGGAGGAUGACGCCUCGGUCGGU